Molecule: ribosomal RNA, 253 nt
Filed under: uncultured bacterium
Lineage: Bacteria
Description: partial 16S ribosomal RNA
Rfam family: Bacterial small subunit ribosomal RNA
Source: RNAcentral
UACGUAGGGGGCAAGCGUUGUCCGGAUUUAUUGGGCGUAAAGAGCGUGUAGGCGGCCACACAGGUCCGCUGUGAAAACUCGAGGCUCAACCUCGAGCUGUCGGUGGAAACCGUGUGGCUAGAGUCCGGAAGAGGAGAGUGGAAUUCCCGGUGUAGCGGUGAAAUGCGCAGAUAUCGGGAGGAACACCGGUGGCGAAGGCGGCAUCCUGGACCAACACUGACGCUGAGGAGCGAAAGCCAGGGGAGCAAACGGG